Molecule: ribosomal RNA, 465 nt
Filed under: Vreelandella stevensii
Lineage: Bacteria; Pseudomonadati; Pseudomonadota; Gammaproteobacteria; Oceanospirillales; Halomonadaceae
Description: partial 16S ribosomal RNA
Rfam family: Bacterial small subunit ribosomal RNA
Source: RNAcentral
CCUACGGGUGGCUGCAGUGGGGAAUAUUGGACAAUGGGGGCAACCCUGAUCCAGCCAUGCCGCGUGUGUGAAGAAGGCCCUCGGGUUGUAAAGCACUUUCAGUGAGGAAGAACGCCUGGUGGUUAAUACCCAUCAGGAAAGACAUCACUCACAGAAGAAGCACCGGCUAACUCCGUGCCAGCAGCCGCGGUAAUACGGAGGGUGCGAGCGUUAAUCGGAAUUACUGGGCGUAAAGCGCUCGUAGGUGGCUUGAUAAGCCGGUUGUGAAAGCCCCGGGCUCAACCUGGGAACGGCAUCCGGAACUGUCAAGCUAGAGUGCAGGAGAGGAAGGUAGAAUUCCCGGUGUAGCGGUGAAAUGCGUAGAGAUCGGGAGGAAUACCAGUGGCGAAGGCGGCCUUCUGGACUGACACUGACACUGAGGUGCGAAAGCGUGGGUAGCAAACAGGAUUAGAUACCCCAGUAGUC